RNAcentral lists this microRNA precursor (84 nucleotides) under Sorex araneus (European shrew). RNAcentral describes it as "miRNA (ENSSARG00000019105.1)". Lineage: Eukaryota; Metazoa; Chordata; Mammalia; Eulipotyphla; Soricidae. The record is from RNAcentral.
CAGGUUGGGGUGCGUGCACGGUGUGCCUCCCACCCACGCAGUUUAUCCAGUAAAGCAAAUGAUUAGAGGCCUUGGGGCCAAAAC